GAGUUUGAUCAUGGCUCAGGAUGAACGCUGGCGGCGUGCCUAAUACAUGCAAGUCGAACGAACAGAUAAGGAGCUUGCUCCUUUGACGUUAGCGGCGGACGGGUGAGUAACACGUGGGUAACCUACCUAUAAGACUGGAAUAACUCCGGGAAACCGGGGCUAAUGCCGGAUAACAUGUUGAACCGCAUGGUUCUACAGUGAAAGACGGUCUUGCUGUCACUUAUAGAUGGACCCGCGCCGUAUUAGCUAGUUGGUGGGUAACGACCUACCAAGGCGACGAUACGUAGCCGACCUGAGAGGGUGAUCGGCCACACUGGAACUGAGACACGGUCCAGACUCCUACGGGAGGCAGCAGUAGGGAAUCUUCCGCAAUGGGCGAAAGCCUGACGGAGCAACGCCGCGUGAGUGAUGAAGGUCUUCGGAUCGUAAAGCUCUGUUGUUAGGGAAGAACAAAUGUGUAAGUAACUGUGCAUAUCUUGACGGUACCUAACCAGAAAGCCACGGCUAACUACGUGCCAGCAGCCGACC
This 528-nucleotide ribosomal RNA is filed under the name uncultured microorganism. RNAcentral's name for it is "bacterial SSU rRNA". It matches the Rfam family "Bacterial small subunit ribosomal RNA", at positions 9 to 519 of the family's 1533-position model. The record is from RNAcentral.